CAAUAGCGUAUAUUAAAGUUGUUGCAGUUAAAAAGCUCGUAGUUGGAUUUCUGGUAGGAGCGACCGUGCCGAACUUGAUUGUUCGAGUAUUGUGUUGUCUUCAACCAUCCUCGUGGAGAACUUUUCUAACAUUAACUUGUUGGGAUUGGGACCCGCGUCGUUUACUGUGAAAAAAUUAGAGUGUUUAAAGCAGGCAUUAGCUUGAAUACAUUAGCAUGGAAUAAUAAGAUAGGACUUUGGUACUAUUUUGUUGGUUUGCAUACCAAAUUAAUGAUCAACAGGAACAGUUUGAGGAUAUUCGUAUGAACAUGUCAGAGGUGAAAUUCUUGGAUUUUGAUCAGACGAACUACUGCGAAAGCAUUUAUCAAGGAUGUUUUCAUUAA
This 383-nucleotide ribosomal RNA is filed under the name uncultured eukaryote. RNAcentral's name for it is "partial 18S ribosomal RNA". It matches the Rfam family "Eukaryotic small subunit ribosomal RNA", at positions 592 to 976 of the family's 1831-position model. The record is from RNAcentral.